This 204-nucleotide long non-coding RNA is filed under the name Phoenix dactylifera (date palm). RNAcentral describes it as "long non-coding RNA (PDAC_LNC000357)". Lineage: Eukaryota; Viridiplantae; Streptophyta; Magnoliopsida; Arecales; Arecaceae. The record is from RNAcentral.
UAUCUAAAAAAGAAUCGAUUUCGAUUUCAUUCAACGUUUGAUUCAAAGAACUGCGCUUAGCCCCCCCGCUCAUGAAACGACUCUGUUGCAAUGGAUAGCAGAGGGUCCGUAGUACCCGAAGCACUGGAGUGAUCCAGUAGCCGGAAAGGGGCCUAGAAGUGCCUACUACUACACCACACUACACUUGGCUCUACACAUUUACAG